This 253-nucleotide ribosomal RNA is filed under the name uncultured bacterium. Its description in RNAcentral is "partial 16S ribosomal RNA". It matches the Rfam family "Bacterial small subunit ribosomal RNA", at positions 524 to 776 of the family's 1533-position model. The record is from RNAcentral.
UACGAAGGGGUCUAGUGUUGUUCGGAAUUACUGGGCGUAAAGCGCACGUAGGCGGAUUAGUAAGUCAGGGGUGAAAUCCCGGGGCUCAUCCUCGGAACUGCCUUUGAUACUGCUGAUCUCGAGUCCGGAAGAGGUGAGUGGAAUUCCUAGUGUAGAGGUGAAAUUCGUAGAUAUUAGGAAGAACACCAGUGGAUAAGGCGGUUCACUGGUCCGGUACUGACGAUGAGGUGCGUAAGCGUGGGGAGCAAACAGG